RNAcentral lists this ribosomal RNA (157 nucleotides) under uncultured bacterium. RNAcentral's name for it is "partial 16S ribosomal RNA". It matches the Rfam family "Bacterial small subunit ribosomal RNA", at positions 1093 to 1251 of the family's 1533-position model. The record is from RNAcentral.
CGAGCGCAACCUCAUCCUUAGUUGCCAGCACGUAAUGGUGGGACUCUAAAGAAACUGCCGGUGAUAAACNGGAGGAAGGUGNGGAUGACGUCAAGUCAUCAUGGCCCUUACGAGUAGGGCUACACACGUGCUACAAUGGCAUACAAAGGGUGCCCCA